UACGUAUGGGGCAAGCGUUAUCCGGAUUUACUGGGUGUAAAGGGAGCGCAGGCGGCUUGGCAAGUCUGAUGUGAAAGGCUGGGGCUCAACCCCAGGACUGCAUUGGAAACUGUUAGGCUGGAGUGUCGGAGAGGUAAGCGGAAUUCCUAGUGUAGCGGUGAAAUGCGUAGAUAUUAGGAGGAACACCAGUGGCGAAGGCGGCUUACUGGACGACAACUGACGCUGAGGCUCGAAAGCGUGGGGAGCAAACA
Molecule: ribosomal RNA, 251 nt
Filed under: uncultured bacterium
Lineage: Bacteria
Description: partial 16S ribosomal RNA
Rfam family: Bacterial small subunit ribosomal RNA
Source: RNAcentral